Non-coding RNA from Rhodobacterales bacterium 65-51, 52 nucleotides. Lineage: Bacteria; Pseudomonadati; Pseudomonadota; Alphaproteobacteria; Rhodobacterales. The record is from Rfam.
AUGAGCCGGGAUCGCCAUCCGUCAGCGCGUUGCGCCCACGGGUGCCCUUGGG